This 411-nucleotide ribosomal RNA is filed under the name Triticum aestivum (bread wheat). Its description in RNAcentral is "partial small subunit ribosomal RNA". Lineage: Eukaryota; Viridiplantae; Streptophyta; Magnoliopsida; Poales; Poaceae. The record is from RNAcentral.
AUGCUGCCGGCUGGCGUCAAGUUCGAUCCCACGGAUCAGGAGCCGAUCGAGCACCUUGAGGCCAAAGUGAGUGCUGACAGGGCGAGAUCUCACCCUCUCAUCAAUUUGUUCAUACCAACCAUCGACAGCGAGCACGGCAUAUGCUACACCCAUCCUGAGAAACUUCCAGGUAUCACACUAAGUGGCUUAAGCAAGCAUUUCUUCCAGCACAAUUCCAGGGCGUUCAAAAGGGGCACGUGGACGCGUCGCAAGAUACAGUCGGAGUGCGUCAUGCAUGCGAUGUGGCACAAGACCGGCAAUACCUUGCCGGUGAUGGUCAAUGGCCGGCAGACGGGCAGCAAAAAGGUUCUGGUGCUGCACACCAACAAGAACUUCGACCAUUCCCGCAAAAAAAAGAACUUCGACCAGUAG